This 27-nucleotide non-coding RNA is filed under the name Homo sapiens (human). The record is from RNAcentral. Lineage: Eukaryota; Metazoa; Chordata; Mammalia; Primates; Hominidae.
UGCACAAUGAAGCGCAAGGGAACAAGU